GGGCAUCAGACGGCUCCAGCUCAGGGCACUGAAGCAGCCCCUCUCACGCUUUUGUCUCUUGAUCUGAAGUCUUGCAUUGUCUCCGCAUCAAGUCUGCUCUGCCGGCUGGCUGCUUGAGCCUGUCAUCAGUCUAGUGUGCUGCUGGUGAAACCUCGGUGAAGGAAGGAUGCACCCACUGCUGGCUCAGUGGUUGGAGCUGGUGCCGAGGGCUUUAUCUUCCUUUUUUCUGCUCCUCCUCCCACCCCCUAGUCCCCUCCAGCUCCAACCAGGACUUCCGGAGGGGCCCUGGUGCCUCGGGGCCUGAUGCUGUGUGGCUCUGCCUAGAUGUGUGGCAGGGAGAGGAGCGCAGAGGCGGACAGGCUCCACCAGGAUUUAGACUUAGCUGGCUACCUCCUUUCCUGUUCUCUGUUCCUCAGACUCCUCUGUUUCUCCUCUUGGUUUUGCCCAGUUGCGUUGGAUUCAGACUUUUGGGACUCAUCCUAGCUCCUCCCCACAGGAGUAUACUUCCCACCAUGCCUCCACCUGCUCCUGCCUAUAGGAAAGUUGGCCUUCUGGCCCUCAAAGGAUGCAAAGGAUACCAAGUGUGAUGAGGAUGGGCCUUGAGGGAGGUCCUUGGACAGUCUCCUCACCUGCUUUUUCAACAUAGAAAAUCCCACCAUAAGGCGUCCACUCUUCUCCCAUUGGUAAGUUUCUCCUAGAAGGAGGCCAGCCUUAAUUCCCCUCCAGGUCCUAUUGCUGGCUUCCUCAUACCUUCCCACACACAUACACAAACACCCUGCUUUUGACGUCUCUUGUAUGAUGUCUUCCCCCAUUAGAAUGAAAGCUUCUUGAGGGCAGGGACUAUUUUGCUUUUGGCUUGUAUUUGUAUUUCUAGAGCUUAGCACUGAAAUCCUUGCUUCCUUCAUUCCUUUCUUCUCCACCUUCUCUAUCUCAAUCCCUUGGAGAACCAGUUCGGCUAUCAUUUAUUCUCGAGUUACUUCCCCCUUUAUCCUAUUGCCAUCAUGCCUUGCUAAGCCCAAACCUGGGAUUCUUUUCACUGUCCACUGCCUUCACUCUGCUUCAUAUGAAGAAAAAUCACAAAACCUUGCUGACUGGGUCCACAACAAAUUUAUGUUACAUAAUCUCAACUGGGCCCUCACUGCAGCAGGGCAAUCCACCCUAAUCUAUUCAUUAUCUCAGUCAUCACUGUGGCUAUUCCAAACAUUUUCACCUCUCUUUAAACCUCUUGGCUGAGAACUCUGCUUCGUGGUUCACUGAAAAAAUUGAGAUUGUUUGCUAAGAGCUCCCUCUCUUCCCCUCUUCUUCCUCUUACCUCGCUCAGAUGAUUUCUGCCACUGUGUCCUCAUUCACCCCUAUCUCACGUGAAGAGGCGACCCUUCUCCUUUCCAAGGAAAAUACCUCUACAUGCAAAAGUGACCCCAUUCCAUCCUCUCUCCCUGACUACUGGCUGCCUCCCUCGUGUCUACAAACAUGUUCAUGUCUUCUCCAUCCUUCAGCAUCCUCAUCUGAUAUAACCAUGUCUGCCUAGCUAUCUAUCCUAACUUUCCUGGCUAAACACUUUAGAAAAAAAGCUUCUAACUCGACUCCUCCUUUGCUUCUCCUCUCACUCUAUCACUGCCUUUUGGACAUAUCAAAUUAGAUGUCCUGUAAGUAUCUCAAACUCAACAUGUGAAAAUCCCCCAAACCCCUACCUCUUCUUAACUCUUUUAUUGCUAUUUAGAGAGCUACCAUCUUUCCAGCCACCCAGGCUCAAAGUCUGGGUGUCAUCCUCAACUCCCCCCUCAAUUCAAUAAACUCCAGAAUUAAACAGAAGUGCUUCUGCUG
Molecule: long non-coding RNA, 1824 nt
Organism: Phascolarctos cinereus (koala)
Lineage: Eukaryota; Metazoa; Chordata; Mammalia; Diprotodontia; Phascolarctidae
Source: Ensembl